This 433-nucleotide ribosomal RNA is filed under the name uncultured bacterium. RNAcentral's name for it is "partial 16S ribosomal RNA". It matches the Rfam family "Bacterial small subunit ribosomal RNA", at positions 29 to 507 of the family's 1533-position model. The record is from RNAcentral.
AAUGAACGCUGGCGGCAUGCCUAACACAUGCAAGUCGAACGAAGGCUUCGGCCUUAGUGGCGCACGGGUGCGUAACGCGUGGGAAUCUGCCCUUGGGUUCGGAAUAACAGUUAGAAAUGACUGCUAAUACCGGAUGAUGUCGUAAGACCAAAGAUUUAUCGCCCAAGGAUGAGCCCGCCUAGGAUUAGCUAGUUGGUGGGGUAAAGGCCUACCAAGGCGACGAUCCUUAGCUGGUCUGAGAGGAUGAUCAGCCACACUGGGACUGAGACACGGCCCAGACUCCUACGGGAGGCAGCAGUAGGGAGUAUUGGACAAUGGGCGAAAGCCUGAUCCAGCAAUGCCGCGUGAGUGAUGAAGGCCUUAGGGUUGUAAAGCUCUUUUACCCGGGAUGAUAAUGACAGUACCGGGAGAAUAAGCUCCGGCUAACUUCGUG